This is a long non-coding RNA of Mauremys mutica (yellowpond turtle), 1130 nucleotides long. RefSeq lists it as uncharacterized. The transcript is spliced from 4 exons. NCBI's taxonomy places the organism in Eukaryota, Metazoa, Chordata, Testudines, Geoemydidae. The record is from RefSeq and is a predicted model, not a curated record.
GGACAUAAGGGCUGGUUGUAAUUACCAGCUGUGGGAGGGAGUGUGCAGCAGUGGUUAGUGAAGGGGCCUGGAAAUAAGGACUGCUGGGUCCCAUCCAUGGCUCUGACACUUGGUGUGACCCUGAGCCAGUAGCUUCCCCUCCCCAGGCCUGUUUCUCAUCGGUAGGGUUGGGGUCGCAGUCCCUACAGCCCAGGGGGGUUGGGAGGCUCCAGGAAGGUGUGUAAAGUGCUGGGAUGUCAGGCGCUGGGAGGCACUGCCACCCCCACAUUAGGGCAGUGUUCUGCACCCCCUGCUGCUGGCUGAGUUUCUCUAUCCCUUGGCAAUAAGACAGACGCUUGUUUUCACAGCCAGUUGAUCGCCCAGUGUCAUCACCCUGCCUGCUGGCUGGGCAGGGUAACUCCUCAGGUCACCACCUCUUAAGCCUGCCUUAGGCUUGGAGAGUGAGGAGGAGGGCGAGAGACAGCUGGCGACCCUGAACAUCCGCCAUCCAUCACUCCAUCACCAAGAGCAACACCUUUUGUUGGAGUGGCCCCAGCUCCCCAAGUGAUCCAGAUCGCUGUGUGCAACUGCCCUGUCCUCAUGUGGCUCGCUACAAGCUCUCACACAGCCCUGUCACGAGAGGAGAUAAAGCAGCAGCCUGCUUGGUUGCCUAGCUGUGGAAUCUUCCCCUCCAGAGACAGCGUGGGCAGCAGGACCAGCCGAUAACGUCUCAUGUUCAAUCCAGCUCAGCUCUUUCAAAACACAAUAAACAAACUCGGAAUCCACUAUCCUGAGUUCACAAAGCAGCGCUUCACGCUGGGCAGAGCUCUGGGAACGCUGUUCAAAGUGCCUGGCGGAUUAAAAACCCCUCAGUGCUCGGACCAGAGCCUUUACUUCGAAACACCCCUUGCGCAGUCUUGAAAGACCCACUGUGGUCUGCAGACCCCAGUUUGAGAACCGCUGUCAUAGAAUCUGUACACCAUGUGGGUGAGGAGGUUCCACUAAGUAUUGUGACCAGGUGGGUAUGUGUGAGAACGCACAGAAACUGGGAACAGACAAGAACAGAGAGAGAGAGAGACAAGAAGAUGCCUGUAACCAGAGUGUGAUGCUGGAAAAAGCCAGAGAGAGAGGCUUUGGGGUUUGCUGGACUA